This 500-nucleotide ribosomal RNA is filed under the name uncultured bacterium. RNAcentral describes it as "partial 16S ribosomal RNA". It matches the Rfam family "Bacterial small subunit ribosomal RNA", at positions 30 to 523 of the family's 1533-position model. The record is from RNAcentral.
AUUGAACGCUGGCGGGAUGCUUUACACAUGCAAGUCGAACGGCAGCACGGACUUCGGUCUGGUGGCGAGUGGCGAACGGGUGAGUAAUGUAUCGGAACGUGCCCAGUCGUGGGGGAUAACGUAGUGAAAAUUACGCUAAUACCGCAUACGAUCUAUGGAUGAAAGCGGGGGAUCGCAAGACCUCGCGCGAUUGGAGCGGCCGAUAUCAGAUUAGGUAGUUGGUGGGGUAAAGGCCCACCAAGCCAACGAUCUGUAGCUGGUCUGAGAGGACGACCAGCCACACUGGAACUGAGACACGGUCCAGACUCCUACGGGAGGCAGCAGUGGGGAAUUUUGGACAAUGGGCGAAAGCCUGAUCCAGCCAUUCCGCGUGCAGGAUGAAGGCCCUCGGGUUGUAAACUGCUUUUGUACAGAACGAAAAGGUUUCUACUAGUACUAGGAGCUCAUGACGGUACUGUAAGUAUAAGCACCGGCUAACUACGUGCCAGCCGCCGCGGUAA